AUCCAGCUGACGAAUCCUAAAUGGGAUGAAACGGGCGUCCUGAAU
Molecule: non-coding RNA, 45 nt
Organism: Schistosoma curassoni
Lineage: Eukaryota; Metazoa; Platyhelminthes; Trematoda; Strigeidida; Schistosomatidae
Source: Rfam